This 500-nucleotide ribosomal RNA is filed under the name uncultured bacterium. RNAcentral describes it as "bacterial SSU rRNA". It matches the Rfam family "Bacterial small subunit ribosomal RNA", at positions 15 to 507 of the family's 1533-position model. The record is from RNAcentral.
GAUCAUGGCUCAGAUUGAACGCUGGCGGCAUGCCUUACACAUGCAAGUCGAACGGCAGCACGGGAGCUUGCUCCUGGUGGCGAGUGGCGAACGGGUGAGUAAUACAUCGGAACGUACCCUGAAGUGGGGGAUAACGUAGCGAAAGUUACGCUAAUACCGCAUAUUCUGUGAGCAGGAAAGAGGGGGGAUCGCAAGAUCUCUUGCUUUAGGAGCGGCCGAUGUCGGAUUAGCUAGUUGGUGAGGUAAAGGCUCACCAAGGCGACGAUCCGUAGCGGGUCUGAGAGGAUGAUCCGCCACACUGGGACUGAGACACGGCCCAGACUCCUACGGGAGGCAGCAGUGGGGAAUUUUGGACAAUGGGCGCAAGCCUGAUCCAGCCAUGCCGCGUGAGUGAAGAAGGCCUUCGGGUUGUAAAGCUCUUUCGGUGGGGAAGAAAUUGCUUCGGUUAAUACCUGGAGUAGAUGACGGUACCCGCAUAAGAAGCACCGGCUAACUACGUG